This 949-nucleotide ribosomal RNA is filed under the name Fusarium solani. RNAcentral's name for it is "partial large subunit ribosomal RNA". It matches the Rfam family "Eukaryotic large subunit ribosomal RNA", at positions 430 to 1405 of the family's 3401-position model. The record is from RNAcentral. Lineage: Eukaryota; Fungi; Ascomycota; Sordariomycetes; Hypocreales; Nectriaceae.
CAGACUUGGGCUUGGUUGAUCAUCCGGGGUUCUCCCCGGUGCACUCUUCCGGCUCAGGCCAGCAUCAGUUCGCCCUGGGGGAUAAAGGCAUCGGGAACGUGGCUCUCUCCGGGGAGUGUUAUAGCCCGUUGCGUAAUACCCUGUGGCGGACUGAGGUUCGCGCAUUCGCAAGGAUGCUGGCGUAAUGGUCAUCAGUGACCCGUCUUGAAACACGGACCAAGGAGUCGUCUUCGUAUGCGAGUGUUCGGGUGUCAAACCCCUACGCGAAAUGAAAGUGAACGCAGGUGAGAGCUUCGGCGCAUCAUCGACCGAUCCUGAUGUUAUCGGAUGGAUUUGAGUAAGAGCAUACGGGGCCGGACCCGAAAGAAGGUGAACUAUGCCUGUGUAGGGUGAAGCCAGAGGAAACUCUGGUGGAGGCUCGCAGCGGUUCUGACGUGCAAAUCGAUCGUCAAACAUGGGCAUGGGGGCGAAAGACUAAUCGAACCUUCUAGUAGCUGGUUUCCGCCGAAGUUUCCCUCAGGAUAGCAGUGUUGAACUCAGUUUUAUGAGGUAAAGCGAAUGAUUAGGGACUCGGGGGCGCUAUUUAGCCUUCAUCCAUUCUCAAACUUUAAAUAUGUAAGAAGCCCUUGUUGCUUAAUUGAACGUGGGCAUUCGAAUGAAUCAACACUAGUGGGCCAUUUUUGGUAAGCAGAACUGGCGAUGCGGGAUGAACCGAACGCGAGGUUAAGGUGCCAGAGUAGACGCUCAUCAGACACCACAAAAGGUGUUAGUACAUCUUGACAGCAGGACGGUGGCCAUGGAAGUCGGAAUCCGCUAAGGACUGUGUAACAACUCACCUGCCGAAUGUACUAGCCCUGAAAAUGGAUGGCGCUCAAGCGUCUCACCCAUACCUCGCCCUCAGGGUAGAAACGAUGCCCUGAGGAGUAGGCGGACGUGGAGGUCAGUGACG